Molecule: ribosomal RNA, 468 nt
Filed under: uncultured bacterium
Lineage: Bacteria
Description: partial 16S ribosomal RNA
Rfam family: Bacterial small subunit ribosomal RNA
Source: RNAcentral
GACGAACGCUGGCGGCGUGCUUAACACAUGCAAGUCGAACGGAAAGGCCCUGCUUUUGUUGGGUGCUCGAGUGGCGAACGGGUGAGUAACACGUGUGUAACCUGCCCUUGACUUUGGGAUAACUUCAGGAAACUGGGGCUAAUACCGGAUAGGAGCUCCUGCUGCAUGGUGGGGGUUGGAAAGUUUCGGCGGUUGGGGAUGGACUCGCGGCUUAUCAGCUUGUUGGUGGGGUAGUGGCUUACCAAGGCUUUGAAGGGUAGCCGGCCUGAGAGGGUGACCGGCCACAAUGGGACUGAGAGACGGCGCAGACGCCUACGGGAGGCAGUAGGGGGGAAUAUGGCACAAUGGGCGGAAGCCUGAUGCAGAAACGCCGCGUGCGGGAUGACGGCCUUCGGGUUGUAAACCGCUGUCGCCUGUGACGAAGCGUGAGUGACGGUAAUGGGUAAAGAAGCACCGGCUAACUACGUG